UGAGAAGUGGGUGUCCUGUAACCAAAGUGUGGCAAGAUUUGUAUACGUUUUUGUACUCUACAAGUGACGGUGGCAUCAUAUAUCAGGGUAAAAGGGUAGGUUAUUUUUAGAUCUAUGCUAAUAUUCACCUCUAGAACAUUACCAAGGCGAGGAUUCAUAUGUAUCUCAUGCGCUGUUGAGUGAGAUGGGUCUUCAUGGCAACGUGCAAUUUCAUUUAUCCAUCCAAGGCAGGCCAAAUCACUGGCUUCGUCCACUUACCAAGACUACUGCUGAAACACUAUCAAGUGCUUGAAAUCAUGUUUCAAAGCUUAAAAUGUAUUUUUCUUAUUUAUCCACCAAGAUUGAUGGGGUCAAGGAAGUACCUAACAUUGGAUCACUGCACAUCCUAUGCCUCAUUUUUCUUCAAUGAGAAACAGAAGAAAGUAUCCAAUACAGAAGAGCCAAUGAACAGCCAAGGAGACAAAAUGACUCAACUAGCUGACAUCGGUCACCCAGAAGUGGCAAGAUGGGGACAUAAAUGGAGAGGUCACUGUGGCAGAAAUAGAGAUGGAAGCAGAGAAGGAGACAUGGACUCCCAUUUACCAAGGCCAACUCUGAACAUCCAACCUAUGAGCAACAAAGACCAACACCAAGCCCCCAUAUAGCAUUAUGCCUCAGGCAGACCAACAGACUAUUAAGUGGUAAGCUGACUACACUGGGCCUCUUCCAUCUUGGAUGGGCCAGUGAUUGAUCUUCACAGGAUUAGACAUUUAUUCCAGGUAUGGGUUUGCCUUUCCUGUCCAUAGAGACCUAGCCAGUACCACUAAAUAUAGACUUAUACAGCACUUAAUCAACAGACAUGGAAUCCAGCCAAGGGAAUCACUUCACAGUGAAAGAUUUGUGGCAGUAGGCCCAUAACCAUAAGCUCCAGUAGUUAUAUCCAUAACAGCUCCAUACAAAAGGACCAGUCUUAGAGAGUAUUGGAAUGGCCUGCUGCAGGCACAGCUAAUGUACUAGCUCAGAGACAAAAAUGGUGUGCUAUCCUCUUGUAUGCAGUACAUGCACUGAUUUAGAGCUAGGUUCCCAGUAAGAAGAAUACAUGGGUCUGAGAACCAAGAAGUGGAAAGGGAAAUAGCCCCUACUCGCCAUCAUUCCCAAUGAUCUACUUUGUGCUUCCCAUCUCUGCAAUGUGGGGCUCUACGGAGUUAGAAGUCCUGGCACCCAAAGCGGGCACACUUUUGCCAAGAGACACAUGAAAGGUCACAGUGAACUACAAUUUACAGCUGCAGCCUGAAUACUGAGUAUUCCUUGUGUCCAAGGACUAGAAAGCAGUAAGAGGAAUGCCCAUCUUGGCAAGAUUAAUUAACCCUCAUCCUCAGGAGGAAGUAGGGCUGCCGUUACACAAAGGGAACAAGAAAGAAUAUGUGUGGGACUCAGAUGAUUCCCUAGGAUACCACUUAAUACUCCCUGCCCAGUAGUGACUAUGAAUGGGCAAAUGCAACCACUCCAGUCUCAGACCCCUCAGAAAUGAGGGUUUGGGUCAAACCACUAGGUAAACAACCAACACCAGCAGAAAUGAUAGCUGAGGGCAAGGGCAAUUUAGACUACAUAGUGGAGAUGGCUCUAGAACUUUGUGGCUCUGAGACCAGCUACAGUGAUGAGCCUGAGGCCUGUCUCACUAAUCUCUUUCUACAUUUCCUCCCUUGGAGGAGCUGCUCUCAGAAACUGUGAAGAUAUGGAUCUGUGCAUCAUGAGGAAUGGACUGUAGCAAUCACUUGGAUCUUCCUUCAAAAAAGAAUUGCCAUUCAGGUCCAAGGAGUUUGGUUAGCUAACAGCCUCCAGCUGCAGCAUGUUCAGAAUUCAUCUCAGCUUCCCAGUCAUGACCAUGCUCUCCUUGGGCAGCUCUAGCCAGUGACUAAACAUGGUGGGUGUACUAAAAUCUGGCCAUUUCUGCCCAUGCAGGCCUCCUCUAACAGGCAAUAUGUGCUCUGAAGUUCCCUGUUAGGUUGACUGAGAUUUUUUCAGAUCUGCAUCACAGACUGAGGCUCUCCCUAGGCAAUUCUGCUUUCUCCCCAUUUCCUUUCAUAGGCAUUCCAUCCCAUAAAACCUCUUGUGCUACUACAUCCAUUUCAACGUCUGCUUCCCAGCGGACCUGAACCAAUACACUAUGUACUUAGCUCUUUACAUGUAUCUGUUUAUUUAACCCACUGAUGUAUUAUUGUUAGUCCCAUUUUACAGGUGAGAAAACUGAAGCACAAAGAAGUUAUUAACUUGCCCAAGAUCACAAAGUGAAAGGAGAAUUAAAUUUGAACCCAGACAGUUUGACUCUAGAGCCUGUAAUUUAAUCACUAUGCUGGGAGAGACAGGAUACUGUCUUGUCAUCUUUAGAUAUUAAGAGUGAUUAUUUAUUCUGUGUAAUUUUAAAGAGUAAAAGAGCAAAAGGAUAUAUACUAGAAAAAAAGCUAGAUUUUUGGCUGAAUAUAAAAAGAAAUAAUACUGCUAAUAUUCUAAUAACGUGCAGAAUGAGCACCUUCAGGAAGUAAUCAGGGCCUAUCAUCUGAGAGUUCAAAGUCUCGGAUACGGUGAGGGUGAGACUUUAAAAAACAGGUAAAAGUUGACCUACAUCAGUAAAGGGUAUUAAUUACUAAGGCCUACGUGGAAAAAAGGGGUUCCACAACCAAAUAAGUUUGGGUAAUAUAGCCAGGCACACUGGCUCAUGCCUGUAAUCCCAGUACUUUAGGAGGCUGAGGCAGGUGGAUCAUCUGAGGUCAGGAGUUCGAGAUCAGCCUGGCCAACAUGGUGAAAUCCCAUCUCUACUAAAAAUACAAAAAUUAGCCAGACAUGGUGGUGCAUGCCUGUAAUCCCAGCUAAUCAGGAGGCUGAGGCAGGAGAAUUAUUUGAACCUGGAAGGCGGAGGUUGCAGUUAACCAAGAUGGUGCCACUGCACUCCAGCCUGGGUAACAAGAGCAAAACUCCAUCUCAAAAAAAAAAUUGGGGUAAUACAUAGCUGAACAAAGUUAAACAAGUUUCUUCCACUCCUCAGUCUUUAGAAUACUAACGUGCAUUUGCAAACUUCUACCUAAGGGAUAUAUAGUAAGCUGAAAACCCAAACUUAUUUGACUAAAGAACAUCUCCUUGCUCCUAGGGAACAUACUUUAGAAAUCCUGGAUGGGCUCAGAGAGGUGGCUCAUGUCUCUAAUCCCAGCACUUUGGGAGGCCGAGGCGGGUG
This 3208-nucleotide long non-coding RNA is filed under the name Homo sapiens (human). Its description in RNAcentral is "HSALNT0006803". Lineage: Eukaryota; Metazoa; Chordata; Mammalia; Primates; Hominidae. The record is from RNAcentral.